RNAcentral lists this unclassified non-coding RNA (400 nucleotides) under soil metagenome. RNAcentral describes it as "partial contains 5.8S ribosomal RNA, internal transcribed spacer 2, and large subunit ribosomal RNA". The stretch from base 1 to 120 matches the Rfam family "5.8S ribosomal RNA", at positions 35 to 154 of the family's 154-position model. The record is from RNAcentral.
GAUGAAGAACGUAGCGAAAUGCGAUACUUGGUGUGAAUUGCAGAAUCCCGUGAACCAUCGAGUCUUUGAACGCAAGUUGCGCCCAAAGCCUCGGCUAAGGGCACGUCUGCCUGGGCGUCACGCAUCGCGUCUCCCCCAAACCGCCAAGGCGGAGGGGAAGGAAGAUGGCUUCCCGUGCCUCACCCGGGCGCGGUUGGCCUAAAUUUGGAGCCCGCGGCACUUAGCUCUCGCGGCGAUAGGUGGUGAACAAGGCCUUGGCCGUGCAAACAACCCGCUGCGAAGCUCUAUGUCACGUGCGCUCGUCGGACCCUUUGAAGUUGCCUUUGGUGACUUAAAACCUUUGCGACCCCAGGUCAGGCGGGGCUACCCGCUGAAUUUAAGCAUAUCAAUAAGCGGAGGA